GCCCGCCCCACUGUGGACAUGACCACACAAACUGGGUCACGAUGUCCUAUGUUGGUGAGCAGAACAUUCCAGAGCGUGGAUGACAGCCUCCCCCCCACCACAGGACUGGUAAUACCUGACGCAUGCCCUUCUCUUGCUCUCUACAUUGGCUUGAAUGCACGCACAUCCGCAUGCAGGACUGGAACGAAACGACCGCCCACAUUUUACCGUGUAGGAAGUCCCAGGACACAAACAAUCCACCUGUUACACGAGGACGUAACCAGUGCCCUGUCCUGGUCAUGCUAACGGCUGUGACACGCGGACGCAGACAGCCAUCAGGAGUUUAGAUCUGACUCGACGUGCCAGCGGAUGGAGGCCCAAAGUCAGAGGUGAAACAGCAGAAAUACAGUAAAAUGAUUCUGGAAAUGCGAAAUCAUGAAAGACUACGCUAAAAAAUAAGUGCGACUCUGUUAAAAAUAAGCUGUCCUGUGAGUGGUAAAAAGUAUGCACGCACAUCCGCAUGCAGAUAAAGAAAGUUCUUCCAUAAAGAAAAGUUGGUGCCUUUUGUGUUGGCAUGAAUACUCCUAGUGGUCAGGGCUCAGAAGGAGAGAUGAAAUAUCUCAUCUAGAGCCUGCGUCGUGCAGAGAACACAAACAGCUUCUCUGGGAUUUCGUGGCAAAGACAACCAAGAGUUUAUACUCACAGCCUUCCCUAAAAGUAAUAUGAACAUCAUAAACCCCAUUAUUUCUCCCGCGAAACGUGGCCAGCUGGAGACUUCCAAGAAUACACUUCCAACUUCCCUUGCUAGUAUAAUUACGCCAAUAGUUUCUGCCCAAGAUGGUGUAAGCCAAAGAAUUGUGCGCAGCCGCUAGGAAGAGAGGAGAUGGACUUUCUCCACCAUUUUCCAGAAUUCCGGCUUGAGGCGAGGCCCUGACCCGUUGCUGGGGAUCAGGAGGUGGUGUAGAAGUAGGGACAUCAUCACAUGGCUCUCCUGUGGACUUCCUUUAUAUUCAUGGAAUAAAAUCCUACAUUGUGCAGUAAGCUAAAAAAAA
Molecule: long non-coding RNA, 1031 nt
Filed under: Vulpes vulpes (red fox)
Lineage: Eukaryota; Metazoa; Chordata; Mammalia; Carnivora; Canidae
Description: lncRNA (ENSVVUG00000007082.1)
Source: RNAcentral